UGGGGAAUAUUGGACAAUGGGCGAAAGCCUGAUCCAGCCAUGCCGCGUGUGUGAAGAAGGUCUUCGGAUUGUAAAGCACUUUAAGUUGGGAGGAAGGGCAGUUACCUAAUACGUGAUUGCUUUGACGUUACCGACAGAAUAAGCACCGGCUAACUCUGUGCCAGCAGCCGCGGUAAUACAGAGGGUGCAAGCGUUAAUCGGAAUUACUGGGCGUAAAGCGCGCGUAGGUGGUUUGUUAAGUUGGAUGUGAAAUCCCCGGGCUCAACCUGGGAACUGCAUUCAAAACUGACUGACUAGAGUAUGGUAGAGGGUGGUGGAAUUUCCUGUGUAGCGGUGAAAUGCGUAGAUAUAGGAAGGAACACCAGUGGCGAAGGCGACCACCUGGACUAAUACUGACACUGAGGUGCGAAAGCGUGGGGAGCAAACA
RNAcentral lists this ribosomal RNA (427 nucleotides) under uncultured bacterium. RNAcentral describes it as "partial 16S ribosomal RNA". It matches the Rfam family "Bacterial small subunit ribosomal RNA", at positions 355 to 774 of the family's 1533-position model. The record is from RNAcentral.